This 548-nucleotide ribosomal RNA is filed under the name uncultured Serratia sp. RNAcentral describes it as "bacterial SSU rRNA". It matches the Rfam family "Bacterial small subunit ribosomal RNA", at positions 910 to 1461 of the family's 1533-position model. The record is from RNAcentral. Lineage: Bacteria; Pseudomonadati; Pseudomonadota; Gammaproteobacteria; Enterobacterales; Yersiniaceae.
UUGACGGGGGCCCGCACAAGCGGUGGAGCAUGUGGUUUAAUUCGAUGCAACGCGAAGAACCUUACCUACUCUUGACAUCCAGAGAACUUUCCAGAGAUGGAUUGGUGCCUUCGGGAACUCUGAGACAGGUGCUGCAUGGCUGUCGUCAGCUCGUGUUGUGAAAUGUUGGGUUAAGUCCCGCAACGAGCGCAACCCUUAUCCUUUGUUGCCAGCGGUUAGGCCGGGAACUCAAAGGAGACUGCCAGUGAUAAACUGGAGGAAGGUGGGGAUGACGUCAAGUCAUCAUGGCCCUUACGAGUAGGGCUACACACGUGCUACAAUGGCAUAUACAAAGAGAAGCGACCUCGCGAGAGCAAGCGGACCUCAUAAAGUAUGUCGUAGUCCGGAUUGGAGUCUGCAACUCGACUCCAUGAAGUCGGAAUCGCUAGUAAUCGUGGAUCAGAAUGCCACGGUGAAUACGUUCCCGGGCCUUGUACACACCGCCCGUCACACCAUGGGAGUGGGUUGCAAAAGAAGUAGGUAGCUAACCUUCGGGAGGCGCUACCACU